GCGCCCAUGGCUCAAUGGAUAGAGCACGACGCUUCGGACGUCGCGGUUGGGGGUUCAAAUCCCUCUGGGCGCA
Molecule: transfer RNA, 73 nt
Filed under: Candidatus Daviesbacteria bacterium
Lineage: Bacteria; Candidatus Daviesiibacteriota
Description: tRNA-Arg
Rfam family: tRNA
About the family: Transfer RNA (tRNA) molecules are approximately 80 nucleotides in length. Their secondary structure includes four short double-helical elements and three loops (D, anti-codon, and T loops).
Source: RNAcentral